This 732-nucleotide ribosomal RNA is filed under the name uncultured Bacteroidota bacterium. RNAcentral describes it as "bacterial SSU rRNA". It matches the Rfam family "Bacterial small subunit ribosomal RNA", at positions 94 to 825 of the family's 1533-position model. The record is from RNAcentral. Lineage: Bacteria; Pseudomonadati; Bacteroidota.
AGUGUCGUAAGGGUGCGUAACACGUAUGCAAUCUGCCCUCAACAGGAGGAUAGCUCCCCGAAAGGGGAAUUAACACUCCAUAAGAUGAUGAACUGGCAUCAGGUUAUCAUUAAAACUGAGGUGGUUGAGGAUGAGCAUGCGCAUGAUUAGCUAGUUGGCGGGGUAACGGCCCACCAAGGCGAUGAUCAUUAGGGGAACUGAGAGGUUGAUCCCCCACACUGGCACUGAGAUACGGGCCAGACUCCUACGGGAGGCAGCAGUAGGGAAUAUUGGACAAUGGGUGCGAGCCUGAUCCAGCCAUGCCGCGUGCAGGAAGACGGCCUUCUGGGUUGUAAACUGCUUUUAUCUGGGGAUAAAAAGGGAGUGCGCUCCAAAUUGAAGGUACCAGAUGAAUAAGCCACGGCUAACUACGUGCCAGCAGCCGCGGUAAUACGUAGGAGGCAAGCGUUGUCCGGAUUUAUUGGGUUUAAAGGGUGCGUAGGCGGUCUGUUAAGUCAGUGGUGAAAUACUUCAGCUCAACUGGAGAGGUGCCACUGAUACUGGUGGACUUGAGUACUGAUGAGGUAGGCGGAAUGGACGGUGUAGCGGUGAAAUGCUUAGAUAUCGUCCAGAACACCGAUAGCGAAGGCAGCUUACUAAGGAGUAACUGACGCUGAUGCACGAAAGUGUGGGGAUCAAACAGGAUUAGAUACCCUGGUAGUCCACACUGUAAACGUUGAUCACUCGAUGUUG